RNAcentral lists this ribosomal RNA (494 nucleotides) under uncultured bacterium. RNAcentral's name for it is "bacterial SSU rRNA". It matches the Rfam family "Bacterial small subunit ribosomal RNA", at positions 28 to 507 of the family's 1533-position model. The record is from RNAcentral.
GAUGAACGCUAGCUACAGGCUUAACACAUGCAAGUCGAGGGGAAACGACAGAGGAAGCUUGCUUCCUUUGGGCGUCGACCGGCGCACGGGUGAGUAACGCGUAUCCAACCUUCCCGCAAGUAAGGGAUAACCUGUAGAAAUGCGGCCUAAUACCUUAUGUUUUCCUUAGAGGGCAUCUGAUGAGGAACAAAGAUCCGUCGCUUGCGGAUGGGGAUGCGUCUGAUUAGGUUGUUGGCGGGGUAACGGCCCACCAAGCCCACGAUCAGUAGGGGUUCUGAGAGGAAGGUCCCCCCACAUUGGAACUGAGACACGGUCCAAACUCCUACGGGAGGCAGCAGUGAGGAAUAUUGGUCAAUGGACGGAAGUCUGAACCAGCCAAGUGGCGUGCAGGACGACGGCCCCUAUGGGUUGUAAACUGCUUUUANGUGGGAAUAAAGUGAGGGACGUGUCCCUUUUUGCAUGUACCUUAUGAAUAAGGACCGGCUAAUUCCGUG